AUAGCGCCAUGUGUUCCGGAAAAUUGCCCAGCGGGGUUCAGACUGUUACCAAACCAAGCAAUUAGUACAAAUUGUUAUUCCUAUAGUGGUUCUGCUGCUUCUAAUAAUAGAGCGUGGAGUCUAGCUCUGGCGCAAUGUAUCAUGACACCAGGUGCCUACCUGUGGAGACCAAACAGUGAACUAGAAGCCUCUUCUGUUAGAAAUGAAUUUAAUUUUCCAAAUAAUCAAUUUGUGUGGACCGGUGCAAAUGACAUAGACAUGGAUGGGAUCUUCACAUUUGAAAUAGAAAAUGGUCCAUUUGCAAUCAAUGCUGUA
Molecule: long non-coding RNA, 315 nt
Organism: Mytilus californianus (California mussel)
Lineage: Eukaryota; Metazoa; Mollusca; Bivalvia; Mytilida; Mytilidae
Exons: 3
Source: RefSeq, a predicted model, not a curated record